AGUGAACGCUGGCGGUAGGCCUAACACAUGCAAGUCGAACGGCAGCACAGUAAGAGCUUGCUCUUACGGGUGGCGAGUGGCGGACGGGUGAGGAAUACAUCGGAAUCUACUUUUUCGUGGGGGAUAACGUAGGGAAACUUACGCUAAUACCGCAUACGACCUACGGGUGAAAGCAGGGGAUCUUCGGACCUUGCGCGAUUGAAUGAGCCGAUGUCGGAUUAGCUAGUUGGCGGGGUAAAGGCCCACCAAGGCGACGAUCCGUAGCUGGUCUGAGAGGAUGAUCAGCCACACUGGAACUGAGACACGGUCCAGACUCCGACGGGAGGCAGCAGUGGGGAAUAUUGGACAAUGGGCGCAAGCCUGAUCCAGCCAUACCGCGUGGGUGAAGAAGGCCUUCGGGUUGUAAAGCCCUUUUGUUGGGAAGAAAAGCAGCAGGUUAAUACCCCGCUGUUCUGACGGUACCCAAAGAAUAAGCACCGGCUAACUUCGUG
Molecule: ribosomal RNA, 491 nt
Filed under: uncultured bacterium
Lineage: Bacteria
Description: partial 16S ribosomal RNA
Rfam family: Bacterial small subunit ribosomal RNA
Source: RNAcentral